CAAAAGGUUUUUUUUAAAACCAUCAGCAAAUAAUAGAUGCAAUUG
This is a non-coding RNA of Monodelphis domestica (gray short-tailed opossum), 45 nucleotides long. The record is from Rfam. Lineage: Eukaryota; Metazoa; Chordata; Mammalia; Didelphimorphia; Didelphidae.